CCCUUAGAUGUCCUGGGCCGCACGCGCGUUACACUGAUGCAUUCAACGAGCUUAUAACCUUGGCCGAGAGGCCUGGGCAAUCUUGUUAACGUGCAUCGUGAUAGGGAUAGAUUAUUGAAAUUAUUAAUCUUGAACGAGGAAUUCCUAGUAAACGCAGAUCAUCAAUCUGCAUUGAUUACGUCCCUGCCCUUUGUACACACCGCCCGUCGCACCUACCGAUUGGAUGAUCCGGUGAAGCCUCGGGAUUGUGGUUCUUGCCGCUUUAUUGUGGCGUGACCGCGAGAACUUGUCUAAACCUUAUCAUCUAGAGGAAGGUGAAGUCGUAACA
This 328-nucleotide ribosomal RNA is filed under the name uncultured eukaryote. RNAcentral's name for it is "partial 18S ribosomal RNA". It matches the Rfam family "Eukaryotic small subunit ribosomal RNA", at positions 1470 to 1796 of the family's 1831-position model. The record is from RNAcentral.